CCAUGAGCUAGGGCACGUGAGCGCCCGA
Molecule: small RNA, 28 nt
Filed under: Bombyx mori (domestic silkworm)
Lineage: Eukaryota; Metazoa; Arthropoda; Insecta; Lepidoptera; Bombycidae
Description: ovarian small RNA-13598
Source: RNAcentral